This is a non-coding RNA of Pluteus cervinus, 115 nucleotides long. The record is from the annotation of a GenBank genome assembly. NCBI's taxonomy places the organism in Eukaryota, Fungi, Basidiomycota, Agaricomycetes, Agaricales, Pluteaceae.
GGGCGUUUAGCGCAGUGGUAGCGCGUAUGCUUUGCACUCCGUUUCGGCGCGCAACCAAUUCUUCAUUGGGUUGGAAAGAUGUAUAAGGUCCAGGGUUCAAUCCCCUGAACGUCCA